AUCAAGUGCACAUCAUACGUGUAGGUAAA
RNAcentral lists this non-coding RNA (29 nucleotides) under Rattus norvegicus (Norway rat). Lineage: Eukaryota; Metazoa; Chordata; Mammalia; Rodentia; Muridae. The record is from RNAcentral.